GCAGCGGUGGCUCAGCAGUAGAAUUCUUGCCUUCUGUGCAGGAGACCCAGGUUCAAUUCCCAGCCUGUGCA
This 71-nucleotide transfer RNA is filed under the name Loxodonta africana (African savanna elephant). It matches the Rfam family "tRNA". From Rfam's summary of the family: Transfer RNA (tRNA) molecules are approximately 80 nucleotides in length. Their secondary structure includes four short double-helical elements and three loops (D, anti-codon, and T loops). Further hydrogen bonds mediate the characteristic L-shaped molecular structure. tRNAs have two regions of fundamental functional importance: the anti-codon, which is responsible for specific mRNA codon recognition, and the 3' end, to which the tRNAs corresponding amino acid is attached (by aminoacyl-tRNA synthetases). tRNAs cope with the degeneracy of the genetic code in two manners: having more than one tRNA (with a specific anti-codon) for a particular amino acid; and 'wobble' base-pairing, i.e. permitting non-standard base-pairing at the 3rd anti-codon position. The record is from Rfam by way of RNAcentral. Lineage: Eukaryota; Metazoa; Chordata; Mammalia; Proboscidea; Elephantidae.